ACUCCUACAGGAGCUCACAGGAAGUCCACACAGCACCAGACAAGCUCUGGGACAGAAGCAACGAAAUGAAGCGUAGUGUGGAGUUAGGGCGACCAUGGUACUCUCUGACAGCUAGCCUACUGCAGAGAAGGCUGCUGUAGUGGCUAUUCCUGGUUGUCAACUUGACAAUAUUUGGAAUGAACUACAAUCCGGAAUUGGAAGGCUCACCAGUGACCCUUAUCUGGAGGCUUGGAGAUCCUUAUCUGGAUCUUGGUUUGAAGAUCUUGAGACAUAGUGGCUAUGGAUUCCAGAAGAUAGAAUCUCCGAGUUUAAGGAACACACCUUUAAUCUGGGCUAUGCCUUUCAUCUGGGAUUAAAGGUGUGGUGGAACACACCUUUAAUCUGGGCUAUGCCUUUCAUCUUGGAUUAAAGGUGUGGUGGAACACACCUUUAAUCUGGGCUAUGCCUUUCAUCUGGGAUUAAAGGUGUGGUGGAACACACCUUUAAUCUGGGCUACACCUUCUGCUGGAGACAAUAUAAGGACAUUGGAAGAAGGGAGUCUAGCUCUUGCUCCUUAGCCUGCUUGCUGCGUGAGAGUAACUGCUAGAUCCUUGGAGAUCCUGACUCCCCGCGGGACUUCCAAGGCAGCAUAACUUCGGGUCCAGACUGGGCUGUCAGGCGUUUCCAGGAAGGAUCCAGGAACCCCUUAACUAAUCCAGGCAGUGACCUGGGAGAACUCGGGAGAACCCGUGGCAGCCCUCAGCAUCCAGCUGGUGAACCUGAUUCCUGAUUUCCGGGUAGGCCUUCAGAUGUGUUUUGCUGAAUAUCACUUUCAGAAGAUCCCGGCUAAACUUCUUCUGUACAUUGCUGAGGAUGUCGUACACGACUCUCUCCAGUGGGACCAGGGCUUCAGAGUUGCCUGAAGUUCCAGGACCAACUUGAAGAUAGAGAAGCAAACAGGAUUCCCCGAGUUCUGUCCUCACAUGACCCAACUGCCUCUGGCUCUGGGAUUUGGAGUAAGUAGGCUUUGGAAGGCAGCCCAGCUUAGGUGUGUCUACUUGCAUCCUAGUAUCUGUUGUUACAUUACACAAGUGACCCUGGGAUGCUCUGCACUUCGGAGCAUUCCUGCUUGCUAUUCGUCGCUGUCACCAUGUGCCUCAGCCUCAGUUACUGCAGAGGUGAAUGUAAAUGGUUCCUGUGAUGUCUAUCCCUCCAGUUAUCUUCUGACUUACAAAGGUGAUGUCCCUUCAUCCCUGGAGGUGCUUCAGCCUGUUGGCUGCACCCAGAAGUACAGCAUGAUACAGCACAGGGCAGGCUUGCUGUCAGGACUGAGUUCAUUCUCCACACUCACCUGAAACUUCUGCUCCGAGAUGAAGUCUCGGUCUCGAAGGCUCAUGAGGAAAGGAAACGGCUUGGUGAUGGCACUUGCGAUCUCCACCUUGUUUUCUUUGAAGUGCUUGAACAUGAGCUGAUAGUCAUCUGACUCCUCUUCAUUCUGGUCCUCUGGGAUUGUCCUAGGGGACAGAUUUCCAUGCAGAAGUAGAUACUGGUUUACAAGAUGCUACCAAUGGCUGGAUAAUUACUGACAUGAAGACUGGUCUGCUAAUAUAAAAUUAAAAUUUUAAACAUCUCAUUUAGUGAUCAAGUUCUGGUGCUUUGAGUUUGAUUUGCUCGGGAUAGGGUUAUCAUCUGUAAGUCUGGCUUGCCUAAAAGUUACUAUGUAGACAAGGCUAUCCUCACACAUAAAUUUCACCUGCCUCUGCUGCCUGAGUGCUCAGAUUUAAAUUAUGUUCCAUCAUGUCCAGUACUGUGAUUAGUUUUAAUUGUCAACCUGACACAAUCUAUAAUCAUCUUGGAUUGUAUGAGUCUUAAUAAAGGAUUGUCUAGAUUAGGGUAA
RNAcentral lists this long non-coding RNA (1876 nucleotides) under Mus musculus (house mouse). RNAcentral describes it as "RIKEN cDNA A530040E14 gene (A530040E14Rik)". The record is from RNAcentral. Lineage: Eukaryota; Metazoa; Chordata; Mammalia; Rodentia; Muridae.